Molecule: ribosomal RNA, 301 nt
Filed under: uncultured bacterium
Lineage: Bacteria
Description: partial 16S ribosomal RNA
Rfam family: Bacterial small subunit ribosomal RNA
Source: RNAcentral
CAGCCGCCGCGGUAAUACGAAGGGUGCAAGCGUUAAUCGGAAUUACUGGGCGUAAAGCGUGCGUAGGCGGUGAGUUAAGUCUGCUGUGAAAUCCCCGGGCUCAACCUGGGAAUGGCAGUGGAUACUGGCUCGCUAGAGUGUGUCAGAGGAUGGUGGAAUUCCCGGUGUAGCGGUGAAAUGCGUGGAGAUCGGGAGGAACACCAGUGGCGAAGGCGGCCAUCUGGGACAACACUGACGCUGAGGCACGAAAGCGUGGGGAGCAAACAGGAUUAGAUACCCCAGUAGUCCCUGUCUCUUAUAC